UUUCCCAAAACACAACUCAUCGAUUUUCCCUAGUCUCCAAAUGCACUCCUCUCUGCCUCCCUCUAUCCAUCUCUCAAAAUUUAUAUUUUCUCAAAGCAAAGGUUACAAAUUUGUUGAUUUACGAAUCGCAGGUCUACUCUUGUUUUCAACUUUGCUCAUUUACGAAUCUCAGAGCAUGAACAAUAGUUCAGAGAAAGGGACAAGAACGUGGACAAGGACUUAGAUCUUUGGUUGAAAAAGAGAAUAUACCAAUUAAAAGUUUAUUUCCUAUGCAACACUUCCAAACAGUUGAAACAUGUUCAUCUAAUCCUGCAAAGGUAAAAGGAGUUCGACGUAGGAACAAGUGCAAAGAAGUUGCAUCACUUGAAGUCGGAUAAAAGCUGAAAGUAACCUUUUACAACAAUCGAACGGUUGGAAUAAAGAGCAAAUUAUUUUCGAGGCACUUGGGAAAAAUAGUUCGUGACUGCAAUAUGUGUCCUUUGGGAGUAUCAUCGUGGAAUGAUAUUAAGCAAGAAAAGUUAAAACAUAUGUGGGCAGCUAUUGAGGUAACAAAUGUAGUUAAGAAUACACCUGUGCAUUUUGAGUUGCACAUAUAAUGGUGUUAUAUGCGUUGUUGCGAGGAAGAAUAUAGGUGUAGUUAGAUGUGGUUGCAAACUUUUUAUUCAUAGAGUGUAUUUUUCUUAUUAGAACAUGUUCAAUAUUUUUGCAUUCUGUAUCUGAUUCUUAAUAUAGUGGUUCUUUUGGGUUUCUAAUAGUUUUCUAUUUGUGUAAUUGCGUGAACGUGAUGAUAAUGGAAAGUAUAUUAUAGUGAAAUGCGGCUGUGUUGUCAUA
Nicotiana tabacum (common tobacco) is the source of this 831-nucleotide long non-coding RNA. RefSeq lists it as uncharacterized. NCBI's taxonomy places the organism in Eukaryota, Viridiplantae, Streptophyta, Magnoliopsida, Solanales, Solanaceae. The record is from RefSeq and is a predicted model, not a curated record.